This 78-nucleotide microRNA precursor is filed under the name Schistosoma mattheei. RNAcentral's name for it is "mir-3492 microRNA precursor family". It matches the Rfam family "mir-3492 microRNA precursor family". Lineage: Eukaryota; Metazoa; Platyhelminthes; Trematoda; Strigeidida; Schistosomatidae. The record is from Rfam by way of RNAcentral.
GGCUUUUUGAAUCCAUGCUGAGAUUUCGUCAGACACCAAUCCAUUAGGGAUGAUCAGACUUCCUAGAUAAGUGAAGUU